This 1540-nucleotide ribosomal RNA is filed under the name Parabacteroides distasonis. RNAcentral describes it as "16S ribosomal RNA". It matches the Rfam family "Bacterial small subunit ribosomal RNA". The record is from RNAcentral. Lineage: Bacteria; Pseudomonadati; Bacteroidota; Bacteroidia; Bacteroidales; Tannerellaceae.
CAAUUUAAACAACGAAGAGUUUGAUCCUGGCUCAGGAUGAACGCUAGCGACAGGCUUAACACAUGCAAGUCGAGGGGCAGCGGGGGUAGCGAUACCCGCCGGCGACCGGCGCACGGGUGAGUAACGCGUAUGCAACUUACCUAUCAGAGGGGGAUAACCCGGCGAAAGUCGGACUAAUACCGCAUGAAGCAGGGGCCCCGCAUGGGGGUAUUUGCUAAAGAUUCAUCGCUGAUAGAUAGGCAUGCGUUCCAUUAGGCAGUUGGCGGGGUAACGGCCCACCAAACCGACGAUGGAUAGGGGUUCUGAGAGGAAGGUCCCCCACAUUGGUACUGAGACACGGACCAAACUCCUACGGGAGGCAGCAGUGAGGAAUAUUGGUCAAUGGGCGUAAGCCUGAACCAGCCAAGUCGCGUGAGGGAUGAAGGUUCUAUGGAUCGUAAACCUCUUUUAUAAGGGAAUAAAGUGCGGGACGUGUCCCGUUUUGUAUGUACCUUAUGAAUAAGGAUCGGCUAACUCCGUGCCAGCAGCCGCGGUAAUACGGAGGAUCCGAGCGUUAUCCGGAUUUAUUGGGUUUAAAGGGUGCGUAGGCGGCCUUUUAAGUCAGCGGUGAAAGUCUGUGGCUCAACCAUAGAAUUGCCGUUGAAACUGGGAGGCUUGAGUAUGUUUGAGGCAGGCGGAAUGCGUGGUGUAGCGGUGAAAUGCUUAGAUAUCACGCAGAACCCCGAUUGCGAAGGCAGCCUGCCAAGCCAUGACUGACGCUGAUGCACGAAAGCGUGGGGAUCAAACAGGAUUAGAUACCCUGGUAGUCCACGCAGUAAACGAUGAUCACUAGCUGUUUGCGAUACACAGUAAGCGGCACAGCGAAAGCGUUAAGUGAUCCACCUGGGGAGUACGCCGGCAACGGUGAAACUCAAAGGAAUUGACGGGGGCCCGCACAAGCGGAGGAACAUGUGGUUUAAUUCGAUGAUACGCGAGGAACCUUACCCGGGUUUGAACGCAUUCGGACCGAGGUGGAAACACCUUUUCUAGCAAUAGCCGUUUGCGAGGUGCUGCAUGGUUGUCGUCAGCUCGUGCCGUGAGGUGUCGGCUUAAGUGCCAUAACGAGCGCAACCCUUGCCACUAGUUACUAACAGGUGAUGCUGAGGACUCUGGUGGGACUGCCAGCGUAAGCUGCGAGGAAGGCGGGGAUGACGUCAAAUCAGCACGGCCCUUACAUCCGGGGCGACACACGUGUUACAAUGGCGUGGACAAAGGGAAGCCACCUGGCGACAGGGAGCGAAUCCCCAAACCACGUCUCAGUUCGGAUCGGAGUCUGCAACCCGACUCCGUGAAGCUGGAUUCGCUAGUAAUCGCGCAUCAGCCAUGGCGCGGUGAAUACGUUCCCGGGCCUUGUACACACCGCCCGUCAAGCCAUGGGAGCCGGGGGUACCUGAAGUCCGUAACCGCGAGGAUCGGCCUAGGGUAAAACUGGUGACUGGGGCUAAGUCGUAACAAGGUAGCCGUACCGGAAGGUGCGGCUGGAACACCUCCUUUCUGGAGC